This 252-nucleotide ribosomal RNA is filed under the name uncultured bacterium. Its description in RNAcentral is "partial 16S ribosomal RNA". It matches the Rfam family "Bacterial small subunit ribosomal RNA", at positions 524 to 776 of the family's 1533-position model. The record is from RNAcentral.
UACGGAGGAUGCGAGCGUUAUCCGGAUUUAUUGGGUUUAAAGGGUGCGUAGGCGGACUGUCAAGUCAGCGGUAAAAUUGAGAGGCUCAACCUCUUCCCGCCGUUGAAACUGGUGGUCUUGAGUGGAUGAGAAGUACGCGGAAUGCGUGGUGUAGCGGUGAAAUGCAUAGAUAUCACGCAGAACUCCGAUUGCGAAGGCAGCAUACCGGCGCCCCACUGACGCUGAGGCACGAAAGCGUGGGUAUCGAACAGG